Molecule: long non-coding RNA, 554 nt
Filed under: Oryza brachyantha (malo sina)
Lineage: Eukaryota; Viridiplantae; Streptophyta; Magnoliopsida; Poales; Poaceae
Description: long non-coding RNA (OBRA_LNC001645)
Source: RNAcentral
AACAUUUGAGUAUCCAGAAAACAUUUAAACAUAAUAAAAAAGCCAUAUAUUUACAAUUUAAAAUAUCUUGAAAAUAUCUGAGUAUGACAGCAGCAUGUCAACAUCUACCAUGCCAACUCAGUAGAGAUAGAUGGACUCUAGUCCUCACGACAUUAAGCACCACUAGCUUGUUGUUUUCUCCCGGCUCACCAUUGACUCACUCACAAGUCACAAAGUGUCCAAGUUCAGGCUCGUGCGCCCAUGGACUUGACGACCAUCGUUGAGGCCCCAGCAUAUAUCUUCCACCAUGCCCGCAGAUGUCCCACUGCUUGUAAUGAUCAAUGCAAAACCUUGUUGCCAUUGAUGUAUCCUGACUGGAUUGGUUCUUGCUCCGUCGUGCCACCACAAUGAUCUCAGAUGGUUGUGGUCAGCGAGGGAUAACCCAGAACAAUCACAUUCUCUAGGGCGGGUGUCAUGGUUCUCAAGAGGUUCCUUUUGGGUGAGCAAUGUGAUGUCCAAGGUGGUUUAAUCAGCAGCACACUAGUGUUUUCUCCGAUACCUCCUAGUCCAAGUAU